Molecule: ribosomal RNA, 115 nt
Filed under: Petromyzon marinus (sea lamprey)
Lineage: Eukaryota; Metazoa; Chordata; Hyperoartia; Petromyzontiformes; Petromyzontidae
Source: RNAcentral
GUUCAUAGCUCACCCAGAACGCAACCGGUCUCAUCCAAUCUGGGAAGCUAAGCAGACUUGAGCCUGGAAACGUACUUGAAUGGGCGAAUAACCAGCAUGGCAGGCGUUAUUAAAU